ACUGAGCAGAGAAGUUCAAAUACAGAAAUAGAGAUGCAGAAAACAUUGAACUGGGCUCAGGUCACGGGGAACCUGGAGCCUAUCCCAGGGAGCAUCAGGCACAAGGUGGGGUACACCCUGGACAGGGUGCCAAUCCAUCGCAGGGCACACACACAAUCACAUACACACUACAGACACUUUGUACAUGCCAAUCAGCCUACCAUGCAUGUCUUUGGACUGGGGGAGGAAACCGGAGUACCCAGAGGAAACCCCUGCAGCACGGGGAGAACAUGCAAACUCCGCACACACUGGGCCACAGUGGGAAUCGAACCCCAGACUCUUUUCUCAAACCAGCAUAUCACAAUGUUCAUUCUGGGUUUUGCGAGUGGCGCUGAGCAGACUGAGCAAGUGGAGUGGAAUCUUAAGAAAGACAAUCUCCGCUUCAGUGGAAUUAUCAGUGCUCUGCC
Molecule: long non-coding RNA, 446 nt
Organism: Ictalurus punctatus (channel catfish)
Lineage: Eukaryota; Metazoa; Chordata; Actinopteri; Siluriformes; Ictaluridae
Source: Ensembl